CCUACGGGGGGCAGCAGUGAGGAAUAUUGGUCAAUGGCCGGAAGGCUGAACCAGCCAAGCCGCGUGAAGGACGAAGGUGCCAAGCAUUGUAAACUUCUUUUGUCAAGGGACAAAAUCAGGCUCGAGAGCCUGACCGAAGGUACUAGAAGAAAAAGCAACGGCUAACUCCGUGUCGGCAGCCGCGGUAAUACGGAGGAUGCGAGCUUUAUCCGGAUUUAUUGGGUUAAAAGGGUGCGUAGGCGGGCUGUUAAGUCAGUGGUAAAAGCCCGGGGCUCAACCCCGGCGAGCCGUUGAAACUGGCUGUCUUGAGAUGUCUAGAGGUAUGCAGAAUGCGAAGUGUAGCGGUGAAAUGCUUAGAGAUUGCGCAGAACUCCGAUUGCGAAGGCAGCACACCGGCGGCGAGCUGACGCUGAGGCACGAAAGCGUGGGUAUCGAACAGGAUUAGAUACCCUAGUAGUC
Molecule: ribosomal RNA, 459 nt
Filed under: uncultured bacterium
Lineage: Bacteria
Description: partial 16S ribosomal RNA
Rfam family: Bacterial small subunit ribosomal RNA
Source: RNAcentral